RNAcentral lists this unclassified non-coding RNA (389 nucleotides) under Hevea brasiliensis (rubber tree). The record is from RNAcentral. Lineage: Eukaryota; Viridiplantae; Streptophyta; Magnoliopsida; Malpighiales; Euphorbiaceae.
GUCCGCAAGGAUGGUGAAACAGUGGACUUUUCAUACUGGAAAUGCAUAAAGGGGUUAAUUAGAAAAAACUAUCCACUCUAUGCUGACAGUUUUAUCCUCAGGCAUUUUCGGAAGCGGUGGCGUAAUGACUGAAUGUAUCAUUCGGAAACUCGUAGCUACCCUGAAUUUCAUGCAAAGGAGAUUCUUUUACUAUUGCCGAGCACAUUAUGUUGAGUGUCGAUCAAAUAUUUUUGAAGGUUGUGAUAUAAGUUCAUAUUUAUUGGGAGAUUACUGCAAUCUACUCACAGUAGAAUUGCCCUUCCAAUUACUUCUGUCUAAAAAUCUACACUGUAGAAUUCAAUUUACUCUAGUGAUCAAAAGAAAUUCAAGUUAGUGUAAGUUUUGCUUAG